CCUACGGGAGGCAGCAGUGAGGAAUUUUCCGCAAUGGGCGAAAGCCUGACGGAGCAAUACCGCGUGAGGGAUGAAGGAUUUUGGUCUGUAAACCUCUUUUCUCAAGAAAGAAGUUCUGACGGUACUUGAGGAAUAAGCAUCGGCUAACUCCGUGCCAGCAGCCGCGGUAAUACGGGGGAUGCGAGCGUUAUCCGGAAUGAUUGGGCGUAAAGCGCCUGUAGGUUGUUUAUUAAGUCCGUUGUUAAAGCCUAGGGCUUAACCCUAGAAAAGCAAUGGAAACUAGUAGACUAGAGUAUGGCAGGGGUAGAGGGAAUUUCUAGUGUAGCGGUGAAAUGCGUAGAUAUUAGAAAGAACACCGGUGGCGAAAGCGCUCUACUGGACCAUUACUGACACUCAGAGGCGAAAGCUAGGGUAGCAAAAGGGAUUAGAUACCCCUGUAGUCCUAGCCGUAAACGAUGGAUACUAGAUGUUGUGCAUUAUGUACAGUAUCGUAGCUAACGCGUUAAGUAUCCCGCCUGGGGAGUACGCUCGCAAGGGUGAAACUUAAAUGAAUUGACGG
This 559-nucleotide ribosomal RNA is filed under the name uncultured bacterium. RNAcentral describes it as "bacterial SSU rRNA". It matches the Rfam family "Bacterial small subunit ribosomal RNA", at positions 338 to 916 of the family's 1533-position model. The record is from RNAcentral.